RNAcentral lists this ribosomal RNA (582 nucleotides) under uncultured bacterium. RNAcentral's name for it is "bacterial SSU rRNA". It matches the Rfam family "Bacterial small subunit ribosomal RNA", at positions 76 to 653 of the family's 1533-position model. The record is from RNAcentral.
GUGCUUGCACCUGAUGGCGAGUGGCGAACGGGUGAGUAAUGCAUCGGAACGUGCCCAAUCGUGGGGGAUAACGCAGCGAAAGCUGUGCUAAUACCGCAUACGAUCUACGGAUGAAAGCGGGGGACCUUCGGGCCUCGCGCGAUUGGAGCGGCCGAUGUUAGAUUAGGUAGUUGGUGGGGUAAAGGCUCACCAAGCCGACGAUCUAUAGCUGGUCUGAGAGGACGACCAGCCACACUGGAACUGAGACACGGUCCAGACUCCUACGGGAGGCAGCAGUGGGGAAUUUUGGACAAUGGGCGAAAGCCUGAUCCAGCAAUACCGCGUGCAGGAAGAAGGCCUUCGGGUUGUAAACUGCUUUUGUACGGAACGAAAAGGUCUGCCUUAAUACGGUGGGCUCAUGACGGUACCGUAAGAAUAAGCACCGGCUAACUACGUGCCAGCAGCCGCGGUAAUACGUAGGGUGCGAGCGUUAAUCGGAAUUACUGGGCGUAAAGCGUGCGCAGGCGGCUUUGUAAGACAGACGUGAAAUCCCCGGGCUCAACCUGGGAAUUGCGUUUGUGACUGCAAGGCUAGAGUACGGUA